This 74-nucleotide transfer RNA is filed under the name Chloroflexota bacterium. RNAcentral describes it as "Chloroflexi bacterium tRNA-Arg". It matches the Rfam family "tRNA". Rfam says of the family: Transfer RNA (tRNA) molecules are approximately 80 nucleotides in length. Their secondary structure includes four short double-helical elements and three loops (D, anti-codon, and T loops). Further hydrogen bonds mediate the characteristic L-shaped molecular structure. tRNAs have two regions of fundamental functional importance: the anti-codon, which is responsible for specific mRNA codon recognition, and the 3' end, to which the tRNAs corresponding amino acid is attached (by aminoacyl-tRNA synthetases). tRNAs cope with the degeneracy of the genetic code in two manners: having more than one tRNA (with a specific anti-codon) for a particular amino acid; and 'wobble' base-pairing, i.e. permitting non-standard base-pairing at the 3rd anti-codon position. The record is from RNAcentral. Lineage: Bacteria; Bacillati; Chloroflexota. RNAcentral also lists the same sequence under 1 other name.
GUCCUCGUGGCUCAAUUGGAUAGAGCACUUCCCUGCGGAGGAAGAGGUUAGCAGUUCAAGCCUGCUCGAGGACG